Molecule: ribosomal RNA, 429 nt
Filed under: Bacteroidota bacterium
Lineage: Bacteria; Pseudomonadati; Bacteroidota
Description: Bacteroidetes bacterium partial 16S ribosomal RNA
Rfam family: Bacterial small subunit ribosomal RNA
Source: RNAcentral
UAGGGAAUCUUCCGCAAUGGACGCAAGUCUGACGGAGCAACGCCGCGUGAGUGAAGAAGGAUUUCGGUUCGUAAAACUCUGUUGUUAGAGAAGAACAGCGCAUAGAGUAACUGUUAUGCGUGUGACGGUAUCUAACCAGAAAGCCACGGCUAACUACGUGCCAGCAGCCGCGGUAAUACGUAGGUGGCAAGCGUUGUCCGGAUUUAUUGGGCGUAAAGCGAGCGCAGGCGGUCAAUUAAGUCUGAUGUGAAAGCCCCCGGCUCAACCGGGGAGGGUCAUUGGAAACUGGUUGAGUGGAGUGCAGAAGAGGGGGGUGGAAUUCGAUGUGUAGCGGUGAAAUGCGUAGAUAUAUGGAGGAACACCAGUGGCGAAGGCGACUCGCUGGUCUGUAACUGACGCGGAGGCUCGAAAGCGUGGGUAGCAAACAGG